CAAUAGGCCUAUGAAAAUAUUUAAUCCUGAUUAUGUAUUCAAAGGAAUACAAAAUAACAUAUCAAAAUAAACUAUUUUAACCUAUCAAAUAGUGAGAUUGACAAACCCGUUGUGAGACUCAGGGAUAGGUAAAGUGGAGUAGAAGGAAAGGAUCAAGUUCUCUCUCCUAGGAAACAGAGUUAGCUCUAGCCUUAAAGUAGAGAUGAUCAAGAAGGAAACAUGCAUCUAUAGCCAUAUCACCAUGAAUGUGCCCAAUCUCAUCUGAUCUUGGAAGCUAAGCAGGGUUGGGCCUGGUUAGUACUUGGAGGGGAGACUGCCAGGAAUACCAGGUGCUAUAGGCUUUUUUUUUUUUAAGGAAACAUUUUAGAGAAGUGAUGCGUUAAAUAUUAUAUUGAUCUUGAAGGAAGGGAAAUGCACCCUGCUUGAGGCAAUGAAAGGUAGUAAUAAAUUUUUUAAUCUAUUGAAUCAGAAUUGCCACCAUUGUCUCAAAAAACUCUCAUCCUGACUCCAGUGAGUAGUGUGACUUGGUAUCCCAACUCUGGAGAGUAUCAAAAGCCCUAAGCCAUGCAUACCCUUUGGUGCACUUUCUAGGAAUAUAUAUCAAGGAAUUGAUGACUAUGCCACAGCAUUUAUCCACAACGGCAUCUGUCACUGUAUCAUUUAUAAAAACAAGGAAAAACAACAACAAAAAGCAAACCAACCCCCACCAAAAUAAAUGACAACAAAGAAAAACAACCAAAGGGCACUGGGGGAUACAUGAUGAAACCUUCAUACAAAAGAGAUACUAGGUAGCUUUGGAUGUAGGAAAAUACAUAAUAACAUGGUAAGACAAACAUGAAAUAGCGGAAUCAGAUUUCAAAGUAGUAUGUUUGUAGUUUUACAUACAUAAAAGGUGCACACAAAGUGAAAAUUCGUCCAAAACCCAGCAAUUUCCCUUGGGAGUGGGGUGGGUAGGAGUAGGAUGUGAUUUUGCAUGCUGUUUGUAUUUCCCAUUUCUCAAUGUAUUUGCUCUAGUGCCCCUGAAACUUCCCACUUAGCUGCUUUCUUGCCCUCUCCUGACUCAGUCUCUUAGGUCCCAAUCAAUCUCUGGAGGUGGAAUGGAAGGAAGACAGGUAGACCCAUCUCAGGGUGGCCACAGCUGCUCCCACUGGGGAGUUCCAUUUGGAGAAGGCUCUCAGGUCUACCCCUCAUCCAAGCCCUGGAUUUCUUCUGGACCUCACCCAGAAAGGACAGGGUCAUCUUCCAUCUUUGCUAUUCCAUUCCACCAUUCUUCCAGCCCAAUUCCCUGCCUCUCCAAGGGGCACUGGUAGCUCAGGAAAAGAGCUUCUUCUUGGGGCUCUGUUUCAGACUUGGUUCCUGUCUUUGGUUUCUCUGUAAAACAGGGAUAAUGGUUAGGUGGUUGUGUGAUAAUGAUGAGAUUAGGAAUGCAAAGCACCUAGUAUGGUGCCUGGCACAUGGCAGGCUCUCAUCAGAGGCCGAUUCCCUUCACUUGGUUCCUUUUCCCCACAGUAACAAGGCUGCUCCAGGUGAGACCUGAUGACAAACAAUGAACAGACAUCAUCGUAUUCACUGCUUACAAGCAUCCCAACGGAACCUUACUAAAAACUCCAGGUUGUGCACAGCUUGCCUGGCACCACACAGUAGUAAGUGGAAGAGCUGGGCUCAGGGCUCAGGGCUUUGGUCUCCUGGAGUCCCAUCGGAGCAGAACCGGCCUUCCUGCCUUUUCCUCUGUAGCAGGGAUGGGAGGGGUGAUCCUCCCUCUUCAAGAAGCCUUGGAGCCAGGCUCUGGGAGGAUCAUUUCCCAUCUUGCUUUGCCAAGUCAUGUGAUCCCUGGAGUGGGGAUAAAGAGGACCAUCUAGACAAAGGGGAGGGAAGAUCAAGGACUGGGGUCCAUUUCUCCUGUGUCUGAGCAUAGCCCUGUGUCCUCAGGAUGCCUCCCCACCCCCACCCAGGGGCCCUAUGGGGCUUCCUCUAACACUACCCUCUGCCCUCCCUCCCCCGCCUUUUGCCUGCUUGCCAACCCUUACAGCAGCCACUAGGGAGGUCUCUGGUGGGAGCCACUAGGGAGGGGGGCUCUGAUGGGACAGAAUUUGCUUCCAAGGUUGGGAAAGGGAAGCAGGCUUCCAGGGCCAGGUCCUUUAUCUUCUCCAAGAUUCUGCAGUAACCUUGCUGGUAGGGAGGCAGUGGGAGGUGGCCUCAGGCAGGGAGAGGAGUCUCAGUGCUACACAAAAUGACCUGUGUCGAGUCUGUUUCAGUUCACUUCACCCUAGUCCACCCUCAGGAUUCUACUGACUUAAGACACUUUUGAUCGCCAGACUCUAAAAAGGAAAGGGACUUAUGUUUUGGGUCGUUGAACAAAGGUUGUCAACAGAACAAGCAGCUACCUCUCGGGGCCAGGCUAGGAUGCUGCCUGCUUCUCAUGGGGCAGUGGUCCAGGUCAAGUCGGUUCUCAGCACAGCCUCUGAACAGGAAACACGGUCCCUGCCACAGCCUCCCCCAGCCCUAGCCCUCAGAGGCUUCUCCCUGCCAACUCCUGGCCAUGGGAGCUGGUGACCUCACCAUGGGGCCUCUCCACCCGGGGCCACUGCAUCACCCCCACCAGACACGGGAGGCCUCCAGUUGGGAUUUUAGUGUAUUAAACCAAGGACUUUUUUUUAAACUUAGAGAAAACAAGAAGACGUGACAACACCAGA
This 2693-nucleotide long non-coding RNA is filed under the name Homo sapiens (human). Lineage: Eukaryota; Metazoa; Chordata; Mammalia; Primates; Hominidae. The record is from RNAcentral.